Molecule: transfer RNA, 90 nt
Filed under: Candidatus Undinarchaeales archaeon
Lineage: Archaea; Nanobdellati; Candidatus Undinarchaeota; Candidatus Undinarchaeia; Candidatus Undinarchaeales
Description: tRNA-Phe
Rfam family: tRNA
About the family: Transfer RNA (tRNA) molecules are approximately 80 nucleotides in length. Their secondary structure includes four short double-helical elements and three loops (D, anti-codon, and T loops).
Source: RNAcentral
GCGGGGGUGUUGGAGCUUGGUUAACAAGCACAGCUGAAGACUGUGUUAGUCUUUCACAGACUUUCCCGGGUUCAAAUCCCGGCCCCCGCG